CCUACGGGAGACAGCAGUGGGGAAUAUUGCACAAUGGGGGGAACCCUGAUGCAGCGACGCCGCGUGGGUGAGGAAGUACUUCGGUAUGUAAAGCCCUAUCAGCAGGGAAGAAAAUGACGGUACCUGACUACGAAGCCCCGGCUAACUACGUGCCAGCAGCCGCGGUAAUACGUAGGGCGCAAGCGUUAUCCGGAUUUACUGGGUGUAAAGGGGGCGUAGACGGCGUGCCAAGUCUGAUGUGAAAGGCCGGGGCUCAACCCCGGGACGGCAUUGGAAACUGGCAGGCUGGAGUGGGGGAGGGGCAAGCGGAAUUCCUGGUGUAGCGGUGAAAUGCGUAGAUAUUAGGAGGAACACCGGUGGCGAAGGCGGCUUGCUGGACGGUAACUGACGUUGAGGCUCGAAAGCGUGGGGAGCAAACAGGAUUAGAUACCCGAGUAGUC
RNAcentral lists this ribosomal RNA (440 nucleotides) under uncultured bacterium. RNAcentral describes it as "partial 16S ribosomal RNA". It matches the Rfam family "Bacterial small subunit ribosomal RNA", at positions 338 to 795 of the family's 1533-position model. The record is from RNAcentral.